AAUUAUCAAAAACCUUUUUCUGCUUUUGCUGAAAAAGGAUUUUUGGAUUUGGAGGUUCAAUGCUUGCCUUUCAUCUUGGAAAGUGAGCUCCUCUUAAAUGAAUUAGUGGGGGUCUGCUUUGCUGGUCCUUGACGUGAUAAGAUGUUUCUACGUUUUGGAUUUAGCACUGUCCCUUUGGAUGCCUGCUCCUAACUGUCCCAUGGACAACGAUGGUGCUCUGGUCUUUGCCGUCUACUUUGGCGGGAGAGGCUGGUCCCACAAAAGAAAA
Molecule: unclassified non-coding RNA, 268 nt
Filed under: uncultured Russula
Lineage: Eukaryota; Fungi; Basidiomycota; Agaricomycetes; Russulales; Russulaceae
Also listed under: 1 other name
Description: sequence contains ITS2
Source: RNAcentral